RNAcentral lists this ribosomal RNA (464 nucleotides) under Vreelandella stevensii. Its description in RNAcentral is "partial 16S ribosomal RNA". It matches the Rfam family "Bacterial small subunit ribosomal RNA", at positions 338 to 795 of the family's 1533-position model. The record is from RNAcentral. Lineage: Bacteria; Pseudomonadati; Pseudomonadota; Gammaproteobacteria; Oceanospirillales; Halomonadaceae.
CCUACGGGGGGCUGCAGUGGGGAAUAUUGGACAGUGGGCGAAAGCCUGAUCCAGCCAUGCCGCGUGUGUGAAGAAGGCCUUCGGGUUGUAAAGCACUUUCAGUGGGGAAGAAAGCCUUGGGGCUAAUACCCUCGAGGAAGGACAUCACCCACAGAAGAAGCACCGGCUAACUCCGUGCCAGCAGCCGCGGUAAUACGGAGGGUGCGAGCGUUAAUCGGAAUUACUGGGCGUAAAGCGCGCGUAGGCGGUCUGAUAAGCCGGUUGUGAAAGCCCCGGGCUCAACCUGGGAACGGCAUCCGGAACUGUCAGGCUAGAGUGCAGGAGAGGAAGGUAGAAUUCCCGGUGUAGCGGUGAAAUGCGUAGAGAUCGGGAGGAAUACCAGUGGCGAAGGCGGCCUUCUGGACUGACACUGACGCUGAGGUGCGAAAGCGUGGGUAGCAAACAGGAUUAGAUACCCUGGUGUC